Molecule: non-coding RNA, 24 nt
Filed under: Cricetulus griseus (Chinese hamster)
Lineage: Eukaryota; Metazoa; Chordata; Mammalia; Rodentia; Cricetidae
Source: RNAcentral
AUACAUGUAGACAGCAAAUUAAAC